RNAcentral lists this ribosomal RNA (467 nucleotides) under uncultured bacterium. RNAcentral's name for it is "partial 16S ribosomal RNA". It matches the Rfam family "Bacterial small subunit ribosomal RNA", at positions 28 to 507 of the family's 1533-position model. The record is from RNAcentral.
GACGAACGCUGGCGGCGUGCUUAACACAUGCAAGUCGAACGGAAAGGCCUCAGCUUGCUGGGGUACUCGAGUGGCGAACGGGUGAGUAACACGUGGGUGAUCUGCCUUGCACUCUGGGAUAAGCUUGGGAAACUGGGUCUAAUACCGGAUAUGAACUGCCUUUAGUGUGGUGGUUGGAAAGUUUUUUCGGUGCAAGAUGAGCUCGCGGCCUAUCAGCUUGUUGGUGGGGUAAUGGCCUACCAAGGCGUCGACGGGUAGCCGGCCUGAGAGGGUGUACGGCCACAUUGGGACUGAGAUACGGCCCAGACUCCUACGGGAGGCAGCAGUGGGGAAUAUUGCACAAUGGGCGGAAGCCUGAUGCAGCGACGCCGCGUGGGGGAUGACGGCCUUCGGGUUGUAAACGCCUUUCGACAGGGACGAAGCUUUUUGUGACGGUACCUGUAGAAGAAGCACCGGCUAACUACGUG